ACUGCAUGUUGUGUCAAUGGCAACAACAUGGAAGGACAACCCAGCUGCAGCUGAAUCUCUUAGCCAAAACUUCCUGCCUGUGAACAGAGCUGCCUGUACAAGACAGAGGAGAGAGGCAAGAGGAUCCUGUCUGUCCAUCCCACCAUCAACAACAAAAAAGGAGGCUUAAGCCAGGAGACAAAAAGCAGUCCUACAUUUUAAGGCAGGCAGCAUCUACCCCAAAAGGCUGAACCUGGAGAUAAGCUUUACAUCUUUCAGCAGUGUGAAGUUGAGUAUUGCCAAUUGCUUUGAAGAAGUCUCUAACCGUAAAUAUCAUGAGCCACAUUGCCCUACAAGCCAGAAGGGAAAUUGGAGACAGAAGUAAAAGACUGACUCCCAACAUGAUAAAGAGACAGGAGAAUUGAAGGAAAAUCUGCAGGACCCUGCCAGGUGUGGUUUGUGGGACUGAGCAACACAAAUCAGAAGGUCCUGGAGCGCAUCCAUUUUACCACUAACACAGCAGCUUCCUGUUGGGAAGAAGAGAACAAAGUGCAUUAAUCCAGUACCUGAUAGUCCUGGGAUCACUGAAACAAUCACUGAUUGAAGCAAUGUUCUGACAGGCACUUCUGUAAGCUACUUGAAGCAGCUUCAAGACUCAAGACACUAGAAGAGACAACCAUGCCCAUAUUCUAGAGAUAAAACAGUUGGAGCAUCAGUUCUAAACUACCUAAAUCUGGUACAAUUCUUCAAAAAUAAAAUGGAAAAGAUCUUAAAAGGACAUU
Vidua macroura (Pin-tailed whydah) is the source of this 761-nucleotide long non-coding RNA. RefSeq lists it as uncharacterized. Lineage: Eukaryota; Metazoa; Chordata; Aves; Passeriformes; Viduidae. The transcript is spliced from 4 exons. The record is from RefSeq and is a predicted model, not a curated record.